Perca fluviatilis (European perch) is the source of this 180-nucleotide long non-coding RNA. RefSeq lists it as uncharacterized. The transcript has 3 exons. The record is from RefSeq and is a predicted model, not a curated record. NCBI's taxonomy places the organism in Eukaryota, Metazoa, Chordata, Actinopteri, Perciformes, Percidae.
GCAGCAAGGCGGGAAGCAGCAGACAGUAGGGUUGCAGAAACUACCUACGCAGCAGCAAUCAGGCUCACUGGACUUACUUUUCAAGAAGUUAAGGAAGAUAACUGGAGAUGUGAUAACGAUACCAGAAGACUGAGAAGAAACUGCCCCUCAUUAGAAAGAUGAUGGAGACCACAUUUCCCC